ACUUCCUGUUAGUUCUGAUGGUGAAUAUCUCACCCAUGUUUCACCCCGUGUGGAGGGGGAAUCCGAGGAUACUCUAUCUGCUUAUUUUGGCACACAAUCAUCACCUGCUAUGUCGUGCCCGUGGUAUUAUAAAUACAAGGCCAGAAGGAGGACAUAUGUAUGCAUGAUGUAUUGAUGUUGAUCUGGUGCUGCUGCAGUGGAUCGCAGCAGCUCAAAAGAUAACGACUGGUAGUUCAAAACAGAAGGCAGGAGGACAGAGCUCGGUAGCUCAGAAGCUACGAGGUUUAAUUUGAUAAGGACGUUCAAACAUGGUUUUGCAAUCCUUUUCAUUCUGCAAUCCUUUUCAGCUUAAUCAAGAUACGGUUCUUAGUAUAUGACUAGAUACAACUUCUGUAAUGGUAUGCAUCAUGAUGUUGUAGGCGUCAUAUCCGGUGAAAACCUCCAUUUGAUGCAAACUCAUUCGAAACCAUCUAUAAACGUUUCAAAAACAAAAAUAUCAUAUGGGGUGUGAUGCACUACAAACGUGCAAAAUUUCAAGUUAAAAAUCAAAUACAUU
RNAcentral lists this long non-coding RNA (556 nucleotides) under Brachypodium distachyon (stiff brome). RNAcentral's name for it is "long non-coding RNA (BDIS_LNC003678)". Lineage: Eukaryota; Viridiplantae; Streptophyta; Magnoliopsida; Poales; Poaceae. The record is from RNAcentral.